GUCGUCGUGGUCGAGUGGUUAAAGCGAUGGAUUAGAAAUCCAUUGGGGUCUCCCCGCAUAUGUUCGAAUCCUAUCGACGACG
Octopus sinensis (East Asian common octopus) is the source of this 82-nucleotide non-coding RNA. NCBI's taxonomy places the organism in Eukaryota, Metazoa, Mollusca, Cephalopoda, Octopoda, Octopodidae. The record is from the annotation of a RefSeq genome assembly.